UUGAGAUUCAUGAGAGCUCUCAGCUGCAGUUAUUCUGCUGUGCACUGCUCCUUCUUCUUCCACAGUGGAGGUGUCAAGGGCACAAAAAAGGAGAGACAAACUGCACGCAAGGUUUCCCUUUAAAAUGUUCCGUUCGAUUUCUAACUCUUACUUUUUCCCUGAAGACUGGUUGCUCUAGGUAAGAAUACACAUGUGUCUUUAGAUGAAAAGCCUUGUGACUGAAAAUCAGCCACUGGUUAUCUCUAUAUAAUUGAUGCUUCAGUCAGUAA
This 269-nucleotide long non-coding RNA is filed under the name Ficedula albicollis (Collared flycatcher). Its description in RNAcentral is "lncRNA (ENSFALG00000023401.1)". The record is from RNAcentral. Lineage: Eukaryota; Metazoa; Chordata; Aves; Passeriformes; Muscicapidae.